This 426-nucleotide ribosomal RNA is filed under the name Galathea spinosorostris. RNAcentral describes it as "partial 16S ribosomal RNA". The stretch from base 294 to 426 matches the Rfam family "Bacterial large subunit ribosomal RNA", at positions 2473 to 2606 of the family's 2925-position model. Lineage: Eukaryota; Metazoa; Arthropoda; Malacostraca; Decapoda; Galatheidae. RNAcentral also lists the same sequence under 2 other names. The record is from RNAcentral.
UUUUAAUUGAAGGCUUGUAUGAACGGUUGGACAAAAGAAGUACUGUCUUUUUAUUAUAAUUUAACUUGUCUUUUAAGUGAAAAGACUUAAAUUAAUUUAAGGGACGAUAAGACCCUAUAAAUCUUUAUAUCUGCGCUUAGCUUAUUAAAAUUUUUACGUUUUUAAAAUAAGAAAGUUUAAGGUAUUAUGUUGGGGCGACAAGAAUAUUUAGUAAACUGUUCAAAUAUUAAAACAAAGUUAUUUGAAAUAAUUAAUAGAUCCUGAAUUAAGAAUGAAGUUUAAGUUACUUUAGGGAUAACAGCGUUAUUUUUUUUGAGAGUUCUUAUCGAAAAAAAAGUUUGCGACCUCGAUGUUGAAUUAAAAUUUCUUUUUAGGGUAGCAGCUAAAGAAGAGAGUCUGUUCGACUUAUAAAAUUUUACGUGAUCU